GUAACGCGUUUUGCUGAAAUAUACCAGCAUAUGAGCAUAUAAAUAGUUUGGUCAGUUUGUGAUGAUAUUGUGUUUGUGAUAACGAUAUUAUCAAAGUGUGCGAAUUAAUGAUGAAUCGCUGCAUCUAACAAUAAAUAAGUUACUGACGUAGUGCAAUUAUCGUAUGUUCCGCUAUUUCAACUGAGGAUACAUUUAUUCGACCUUGAAUGCACAGUCAUAGAGAAAAUUACAAUAUUCAUCAAUUUUAAUGUAAAAAGUGACGAUGAUUAAUUAAUUAAAGGUAUUAAAAUCUUGUGCAAUUCAAAUUAUACACGUUGACCAACAUGACUGUCCAUUAAACAAAAUACAUUAAAGAAACGUUCAAUAAUGAAUUGGACAACGUCUGCGCAUUUGCAUUUGAACAGAUUAUCGCACGGAAAAUUAAAGUUAACAGGUGGAUGGGAAAUUCACCAUAAUAGAUAUUUAUUCAGGUUCUUGUAACACGCAAUGGAAUAUUUAAAGAUUACGUAAAAUCAAAGUUGUUUUAUUGUAUAGAUUGCAACGAGAUCAAGAAGAAUGGAUCGCGAUUUCCGGUAGUAUCGUUACCUUCGCUUGAUAAACUUCACAAUUCGUAUUUUGCGCAUUCAGACUUUUAAUUAUGGACUUGAAUUUAUUUUAAUUUGUUCAAACAAACUUACGAUAGUUUCAAAUAGAUUAUAUAUAAACUAUUUCAUAUGUUUUCACUCUUUAUAUCGAAAACGAACAAUCAUGUUUAAAGUAUAUGUACAAAUAUAUUCUUAUUGGCUGACUACCGUUCAAUUUAAAUGCUUUAUGUACUUAUUACCAUAUUAAUUUCCUUAGAUAUGCAAUUUACAGUCACACCUGUUAUUCCAAUAAUUUUUCCCUCACUCCUCUCAUAUUUCCUGAAAUCGAUGACACAGGCAUAAAUCAUCGAUACCGAUAAUAAUUAAUUGACAAUGCUACUAAAAAAACAUUUGGAAACAUUACAAUAGAUUUAUCUAACGAGAUGUAAUUAAUCCUUACUGAAAAAUGUACGUACUUUAAAAAAUAUCUGUUAAUCUAUUCACUAAACUUGAUGGAUAAAAAUUCGAUCUUCAUUACAAAAAAUAAAAAAUAUAAAAUUAAACCAAAAGAAAACGAGAGAAAGAGAUAAAUUAACAAUUUUGUUGAAGUAUAAUUCUGACAACAUCAAAGUUCAAUUUUUUUAUUAAGUAAACCGUGAAGUUGCAUAAACAUUCGCAGUUUAUAUAUGGUCGUUUUCAAUCCAUUAAUCAUUCAUCUUCAUUAAUAUUUUGGAUGAUAUACAAUCUAAAAAUAAAAAUUCAAAGGAAG
Molecule: long non-coding RNA, 1332 nt
Organism: Bombus pyrosoma
Lineage: Eukaryota; Metazoa; Arthropoda; Insecta; Hymenoptera; Apidae
Exons: 3
Source: RefSeq, a predicted model, not a curated record